AGCUUUAUAGUCCAAAUAGUGAUAUUAAAUUGCAAAUUUAAAGAUGGUUGUGUACCUAAGGCUU
This 64-nucleotide transfer RNA is filed under the name Brundinia marina. RNAcentral describes it as "tRNA-Cys". Lineage: Eukaryota; Metazoa; Arthropoda; Insecta; Coleoptera; Staphylinidae. The record is from RNAcentral.